CCACGGGUGAGUAACACGUAUCCAACCUGCCGUCUACUCUUGGACAGCCUCUGAAGAAGAUAAUACAAGAUGGCAUCAUGAGUCCGCAUGUUCACAUGAUUAAAGGUAUUCCGUAGACGAUGGGGAUGCGUUCCAUUAGAUAGUAGGCGGGGUAACGGCCCACCUAGUCUUCGAUGGAUAGGGGUUCUGAGAGGAAGGUCCCCCACAUUGGAACUGAGACACGGUCCAA
This 229-nucleotide ribosomal RNA is filed under the name uncultured bacterium. Its description in RNAcentral is "partial 16S ribosomal RNA". It matches the Rfam family "Bacterial small subunit ribosomal RNA", at positions 102 to 334 of the family's 1533-position model. The record is from RNAcentral.